This 2899-nucleotide ribosomal RNA is filed under the name Escherichia coli DEC4C. RNAcentral's name for it is "bacterial LSU rRNA". It matches the Rfam family "Bacterial large subunit ribosomal RNA". Lineage: Bacteria; Pseudomonadati; Pseudomonadota; Gammaproteobacteria; Enterobacterales; Enterobacteriaceae. The record is from RNAcentral.
UAAGCGACUAAGCGUACACGGUGGAUGCCCUGGCAGUCAGAGGCGAUGAAGGACGUGCUAAUCUGCGAUAAGCGUCGGUAAGGUGAUAUGAACCGUUAUAACCGGCGAUUUCCGAAUGGGGAAACCCAGUGUGAUUCGUCACACUAUCAUUAACUGAAUCCAUAGGUUAAUGAGGCGAACCGGGGGAACUGAAACAUCUAAGUACCCCGAGGAAAAGAAAUCAACCGAGAUUCCCCCAGUAGCGGCGAGCGAACGGGGAGCAGCCCAGAGCCUGAAUCAGUGUGUGUGUUAGUGGAAGCGUCUGGAAAGGCGCGCGAUACAGGGUGACAGCCCCGUACACAAAAAUGCACAUGCUGUGAGCUCGAUGAGUAGGGCGGGACACGUGGUAUCCUGUCUGAAUAUGGGGGACCAUCCUCCAAGGCUAAAUACUCCUGACUGACCGAUAGUGAACCAGUACCGUGAGGGAAAGGCGAAAAGAACCCCGGCGAGGGGAGUGAAAAAGAACCUGAAACCGUGUACGUACAAGCAGUGGGAGCACAGAGCAAUCUGUGUGACUGCGUACCUUUUGUGUAAUGGGUCAGCGACUUAUAUUCUGUAGCAAGGUUAACCGAAUAGGGGAGCCGAAGGGAAACCGAGUCUUAACCGGGCGUUAAGUUGCAGGGUAUAGACCCGAAACCCGGUGAUCUAGCCAUGGGCAGGUUGAAGGUUGGGUAACACUAACUGGAGGACCGAACCGACUAAUGUUGAAAAAUUAGCGGAUGACUUGUGGCUGGGGGUGAAAGGCCAAUCAAACCGGGAGAUAGCUGGUUCUCCCCGAAAGCUAUUUAGGUAGCGCCUCGUGAAUUCAUCUCCGGGGGUAGAGCACUGUUUCGGCAAGGGGGUCAUCCCGACUUACCAACCCGAUGCAAACUGCGAAUACCGGAGAAUGUUAUCACGGGAGACACACGGCGGGUGCUAACGUCCGUCGUGAAGAGGGAAACAACCCAGACCGCCAGCUAAGGUCCCAAAGUCAUGGUUAAGUGGGAAACGAUGUGGGAAGGCCCAGACAGCCAGGAUGUUGGCUUAGAAGCAGCCAUCAUUUAAAGAAAGCGUAAUAGCUCACUGGUCGAGUCGGCCUGCGCGGAAGAUGUAACGGGGCUAAACCAUGCACCGAAGCUGCGGCAGCGACACUGUGUGUUGUUGGGUAGGGGAGCGUUCUGUAAGCCUGUGAAGGUGUGCUGUGAGGCAUGCUGGAGGUAUCAGAAGUGCGAAUGCUGACAUAAGUAACGAUAAAGCGGGUGAAAAGCCCGCUCGCCGGAAGACCAAGGGUUCCUGUCCAACGUUAAUCGGGGCAGGGUGAGUCGACCCCUAAGGCGAGGCCGAAAGGCGUAGUCGAUGGGAAACAGGUUAAUAUUCCUGUACUUGGUGUUACUGCGAAGGGGGGACGAGAAGGCUAUGUUGGCCGGGCGACGGUUGUCCCGGUUUAAGCGUGUAGGCUGGUUUUCCAGGCAAAUCCGGAAAAUCAAGGCUGAGGCGUGAUGACGAGGCACUACGGUGCUGAAGCAACAAAUGCCCUGCUUCCAGGAAAAGCCUCUAAGCAUCAGGUAACAUCAAAUCGUACCCCAAACCGACACAGGUGGUCAGGUAGAGAAUACCAAGGCGCUUGAGAGAACUCGGGUGAAGGAACUAGGCAAAAUGGUGCCGUAACUUCGGGAGAAGGCACGCUGAUAUGUAGGUGAAGUCCCUCGCGGAUGGAGCUGAAAUCAGUCGAAGAUACCAGCUGGCUGCAACUGUUUAUUAAAAACACAGCACUGUGCAAACACGAAAGUGGACGUAUACGGUGUGACGCCUGCCCGGUGCCGGAAGGUUAAUUGAUGGGGUCAGCGCAAGCGAAGCUCUUGAUCGAAGCCCCGGUAAACGGCGGCCGUAACUAUAACGGUCCUAAGGUAGCGAAAUUCCUUGUCGGGUAAGUUCCGACCUGCACGAAUGGCGUAAUGAUGGCCAGGCUGUCUCCACCCGAGACUCAGUGAAAUUGAACUCGCUGUGAAGAUGCAGUGUACCCGCGGCAAGACGGAAAGACCCCGUGAACCUUUACUAUAGCUUGACACUGAACAUUGAGCCUUGAUGUGUAGGAUAGGUGGGAGGCUUUGAAGUGUGGACGCCAGUCUGCAUGGAGCCGACCUUGAAAUACCACCCUUUAAUGUUUGAUGUUCUAACGUGGACCCGUGAUCCGGGUUGCGGACAGUGUCUGGUGGGUAGUUUGACUGGGGCGGUCUCCUCCUAAAGAGUAACGGAGGAGCACGAAGGUUGGCUAAUCCUGGUCGGACAUCAGGAGGUUAGUGCAAUGGCAUAAGCCAGCUUGACUGCGAGCGUGACGGCGCGAGCAGGUGCGAAAGCAGGUCAUAGUGAUCCGGUGGUUCUGAAUGGAAGGGCCAUCGCUCAACGGAUAAAAGGUACUCCGGGGAUAACAGGCUGAUACCGCCCAAGAGUUCAUAUCGACGGCGGUGUUUGGCACCUCGAUGUCGGCUCAUCACAUCCUGGGGCUGAAGUAGGUCCCAAGGGUAUGGCUGUUCGCCAUUUAAAGUGGUACGCGAGCUGGGUUUAGAACGUCGUGAGACAGUUCGGUCCCUAUCUGCCGUGGGCGCUGGAGAACUGAGGGGGGCUGCUCCUAGUACGAGAGGACCGGAGUGGACGCAUCACUGGUGUUCGGGUUGUCAUGCCAAUGGCACUGCCCGGUAGCUAAAUGCGGAAGAGAUAAGUGCUGAAAGCAUCUAAGCACGAAACUUGCCCCGAGAUGAGUUCUCCCUGACCCUUUAAGGGUCCUGAAGGAACGUUGAAGACGACGACGUUGAUAGGCCGGGUGUGUAAGCGCAGCGAUGCGUUGAGCUAACCGGUACUAAUGAACCGUGAGGCUUAACCU